This 74-nucleotide transfer RNA is filed under the name Planctomycetota bacterium. Its description in RNAcentral is "Planctomycetes bacterium tRNA-Gly". It matches the Rfam family "tRNA". Rfam says of the family: Transfer RNA (tRNA) molecules are approximately 80 nucleotides in length. Their secondary structure includes four short double-helical elements and three loops (D, anti-codon, and T loops). RNAcentral also lists the same sequence under 1 other name. The record is from RNAcentral. Lineage: Bacteria; Pseudomonadati; Planctomycetota.
GCGGGCGUAGCUCAGUGGUAGAGCUCCAGCCUUCCAAGCUGGCUACGUGGGUUCAAUUCCCAUCGCCCGCUCCA